GAUAAAACCAAGAUGAAGGACAAAUCACAGAGAUCUGCAAGCUUGUCUGCUAAACCUGCUCCUCCAAAGCCAGAGCCCAAGCCUAAAAGGGCCCCUACAAAGAAGAGAGAGAAGGUACACAAAGGGAAAAAGGGAAAAGCUGAUAUUGGCAAGGAGGAGAAUAACCCUGCACAACAUGGAGAUGCCAAAACAGACCGGGCACAGAAAGCUGAAUGUGUUGGAGAUGCCA
RNAcentral lists this long non-coding RNA (229 nucleotides) under Homo sapiens (human). Its description in RNAcentral is "non-protein coding lnc-PNPLA3-3:1". The record is from RNAcentral. Lineage: Eukaryota; Metazoa; Chordata; Mammalia; Primates; Hominidae.